RNAcentral lists this non-coding RNA (26 nucleotides) under Homo sapiens (human). Lineage: Eukaryota; Metazoa; Chordata; Mammalia; Primates; Hominidae. The record is from RNAcentral.
UAAUGGAAACUGAAAGGUGACGUGCA